GGCGGCGGCGGCGGCGGCGGCGGCGGCGAGCAGCCUGACCAGAGGGAGGCGGCCGCCCUUGGCCGGUUGCCGAGGCGACCGCGCAGCGCCGGCAGCACCCCUUCCCUUCCUCUCUAUCCUGACGUGUCCCCCUCCUUCUUCUUCCUCCUCACCACGCGGCGCACAAGCCCCGCCCACAGCCGUCGCGACGUCGGCGUCUCCUCGCGCGGGGCACCCUGGGCGUUGUGGUGGCCGUUCGACUCGCGUGUCCCGGAAAUGCUUCCCUGGCCGCCGCGGGACGGAGAGAGAGAGACCACCGCACUGCAGCCGUGGGCCGGUGGCCAGUCACGGCGCCCGGCUUUUGUCCCCGCGGGGCCGGGGCCGGCCGGGGGACUCGAGUCGGCCCUUGCUGGCGACGCGACGAUCCAUCCGCGGAUGAAGCGCCUGUUGCCACCCGCGAGUCCGACGCCCCGGCCGGAACUGCCGUCCUCGGUCCCUGAGCCCGGUUGAUAGUGCAGCUGGAGAAACGGGCGCCUGCGAUGCUGCACCUUAUUCAGCCUUUCAGCCUCGCUGGCCUCCGGAGGCCCUCGGGACGGUGCGCCCUCCCAAUGGCCAAAAGGUGGGCCAGGGUGGCGUUUACUGCUGGACACUGAAAAUGAUGCCCCCGGCCCCCGCCCCAGCGGCAGCCCCUCCUGCCAAGAAGACAUGUUUGCUGUCAAUGGCACAUGGAGAACUGGCAAGGAGCCACUUCCCGCUGGACUCCCACCUUAGGCCUCAGAACCCUCUAUACUGUGCCGGGUGUGUCGGGGUGCCAAGAAUAACGAAGCCCACUAAGUAUUGCUUAAUAAUACGACGACGACAAGGAUACGUUCCAGGGCGAGCCCAGAUUAUGAUGGGGAAGGCCGUGACUGGAGUCAGCGAGGCUUUAGGCCUGUGGAGCCCGGCUGAAUUCCAGCUGACCUGCAGCACGAGGUCCCCCUUUUCUUUUGGAGGUGCAAGAGCCAGCUGGUGA
Molecule: long non-coding RNA, 991 nt
Filed under: Salvator merianae (Argentine black and white tegu)
Lineage: Eukaryota; Metazoa; Chordata; Lepidosauria; Squamata; Teiidae
Description: lncRNA (ENSSMRG00000015201.1)
Source: RNAcentral